This 468-nucleotide ribosomal RNA is filed under the name uncultured bacterium. RNAcentral's name for it is "partial 16S ribosomal RNA". It matches the Rfam family "Bacterial small subunit ribosomal RNA", at positions 28 to 507 of the family's 1533-position model. The record is from RNAcentral.
GACGAACGCUGGCGGCGUGCUUAACACAUGCAAGUCGAACGGAAAGGCCCUGCUUUUGUGGGGUGCUCGAGUGGCGAACGGGUGAGUAACACGUGAGUAACCUGCCCUUGACUUUGGGAUAACUUCAGGAAACUGGGGCUAAUACCGGAUAGGAGCUCCUGCUGCAUGGUGGGGGUUGGAAAGUUUCGGCGGUUGGGGAUGGACUCGCGGCUUAUCAGCUUGUUGGUGGGGUAGUGGCUUACCAAGGCUUUGACGGGUAGCCGGCCUGAGAGGGUGACCGGCCACAUUGGGACUGAGAUACGGCCCAGACUCCUACGGGAGGCAGCAGUGGGGAAUAGUGCACAAUGGGCGGAAGCCGGAUGCAGCAACGCCGCGUGCGGGAUGACGGCCUUCGGGUUGUAAACCGCUUUCGCCUGUGACGAAGCGUGAGUGACGGUAAUGGGUAAAGAAGCACCGGCUAACUACGUG